RNAcentral lists this long non-coding RNA (664 nucleotides) under Fragaria vesca (wild strawberry). RNAcentral's name for it is "long non-coding RNA (FVES_LNC003739)". The record is from RNAcentral. Lineage: Eukaryota; Viridiplantae; Streptophyta; Magnoliopsida; Rosales; Rosaceae.
GUCAACCCACCGGAAAGAAACCAACAUUGAAAUAUUCUGUUCAACAUUAAGAGCAUGAACUGUAAACUGUAACGAUGUAACGUGGUAAUUUAACAGCAUGUUAAAAAGAAACAUUAUAAACAUGAUAAUUUCUCAUGUCUCAUUGGCAAAACCAAAAGCCUUCGCUUCUCAUAUAUUUUUCUACUAAGCUCUUAGAAUACAUCAAAAUCCUUUAACCGCACCAAGUAUAACAGAUUAAAAGAAAACUUCAAUUGAUACUUCUAUCUUAAUUCCGAACUCUUUAAUAAUUUAGCUUCACGCUCCUGACAAAGUCUUUACCUCUGGAAGAAAACCACACAGACAUAAAAUGUAAGGAUAGGAAUACAUAGAGACGAAAUAACAGAUGCAAUCCAAUAUUAUCACAAGUGGUUUUAGAUGGUUAUAAAUUAUGGAUCACAUUGUUGUAUUAAAAGACUGAUUGCAUCUCAUUCACCAGACUAAGUAACAGUACCUAUCUAAUCCAAUCAAAUAAUGCUCACGAGAAAGGUGAUGGCUUUGUGAUUGAGAAUGUGCACAAUACUCAUCUGGUGGCUGGUAAUAUAAAUGUUUCUGCUGGCCAUGCUAAUGAGGUUGAUGAUGAUGAUGAGGAUUAUGAUGAUGAUGAUUAUUCUAGCGUUGAGGAAAU